Molecule: ribosomal RNA, 253 nt
Filed under: uncultured bacterium
Lineage: Bacteria
Description: partial 16S ribosomal RNA
Rfam family: Bacterial small subunit ribosomal RNA
Source: RNAcentral
UACGUAGGGACCAAGCGUUGUUCGGAUUUACUGGGCGUAAAGGGCGCGUAGGCGGCGCGGUAAGUCACUUGUGAAAUCUCUGAGCUUAACUCAGAACGGCCAAGUGAUACUGCAGUGCUAGAGUGUGGAAGGGGCAAUCGGAAUUCUUGGUGUAGCGGUGAAAUGCGUAGAUAUCAAGAGGAACACCUGAGGUGAAGACGGGUUGCUGGGCCAACACUGACGCUGAUGCGCGAAAGCGUGGGUAGCAAACAGG